RNAcentral lists this long non-coding RNA (1401 nucleotides) under Carassius auratus (goldfish). Its description in RNAcentral is "lncRNA (ENSCARG00000061112.1)". The record is from RNAcentral. Lineage: Eukaryota; Metazoa; Chordata; Actinopteri; Cypriniformes; Cyprinidae.
AUGUCUACAGACAGAGCAAUCAUCUCUACUUGUGCUGACAAAGGUUCUACAGCCACUAGUCUACCUCAAUGCAGGUAUGGCGCAGCUACUGCACACAAUGCCCCCCAACAAAUGUUACAGCCCAUUCUGCAGUCAAGAAGGUCUGAUAGUGGGCUUGGUGUCAGUUUCACCCUACCUUCAACUUUUGCCAGCACGCCACAAUUGUUGAGCGAUCAUGCUACUCCGCCUGUUGAUCUCAGCAUGGGACAAAGUAGUAGCAUGCCAUAUAGUAACCCUGGUUCGCACGCUGGUGCAGAUAACAGCUCUCAGUGGGCCCGACCAAGAAUAAAGCUCACACCAAUAAGCUUACCUAAAUUCUCCGGUGACCGGAGGAGUUAUUGGCGUUGGAAGGCUGAAUGGGAAAGUAUCCAGGCACAAGCAGAACCUACAGGGUCUAGGGAAUGCAAGAAACUUCACUUACUGGAUAGUAUAAGUGAGUCUGUGAAAAGUGAACUCAGGCUAUAUCGGUGCAGAGAUGCAAAUGAUAUCUUCAGGGAAUUGGAGAACCAUUAUGGUGACAAAGCACACACGGCCGAAGAGAUUGUGUUGGAGCUUCAGUCACGACCUGCUGUAAAGAACCAUCAGCCACGAGAAACGUUAGAGUUGAUUCUAGCAGUGGAGAGGGCAGUACUGGACCUCUCAGACCUGGGGUGCGAAGAUGCUGUACGCAAUCAACUUGUGAUUCGGUCUUUGGAGAGUAAACUCCCUGAUGUUAUGAAAAGAGAGUGGCUCAUGUGUGUGAGAAAUCCUGUAAAUGACGUCCAUCCUGGAAACCGUUUUGACAGGCUCUUGAUGUUCCUGGAAGACCAAAAGUCAUUGCUCGUGAGGUUGGAGCAGUUGCUGCCCAGCAAACCAUGGCCUGCUAAUGCUCCUGAGAGACCAAGCCACCGGGAGAAACCAGGUGACAGAUGGAGAGAGAAGUCUUUCACUAAGACUACAGCAAGUGAAGUCAAAAGAGAAUCCAAACAGUUACCAUGUGCCAUGUGUGGUGAUGGAGAUCACGGAGGUAAACUGUUUCGUUGUAAAACUUUCAGAAAAGCCAAUCUGUCAGAAAAGAAAGCUCAAGUGAAAAAGGUAAAAGCAUGUACAAAGUGUUUGGAUGUUCACGGGGUCGAGAGUGACUGUACUCCAAAGUUUCUCUGUCGUAAAGAUGAGUGUAAGAAAGGCGACACUCCAGCAGACCACCACUAUUUCCUUUGCCCUAAGGCGUCAACAAAGAAGGACACUGUUAAAAGGGAAAAUAAAGAAGAGGAAAAGAGGGGAGCUCGAGGUCCAACAGAGGAGCAAGAGGCUGUGUUCGUUGGAAAUUUUGAGAAAGUUGGAAUUUUUCCAAUUGGAAGCUGUCCGCAGAGCCUGUAUUAA